GCCUGGGUGGCUCAGUCGGUUGAGCGUCUGACUUCAGCUCAGGUCACGAUCUCGCGGUCCGUGAGUUCGAGCCCCGUGUCGGGCU
This is a transfer RNA of Felis catus (domestic cat), 85 nucleotides long. It matches the Rfam family "tRNA". From Rfam's summary of the family: Transfer RNA (tRNA) molecules are approximately 80 nucleotides in length. Their secondary structure includes four short double-helical elements and three loops (D, anti-codon, and T loops). The record is from Rfam. NCBI's taxonomy places the organism in Eukaryota, Metazoa, Chordata, Mammalia, Carnivora, Felidae.